GCCGGGGUGGUGUAGAGGCAACACGACAGUCUGCCAGUCUGUUAUCGCGGGUUCGAUUCCCGUCUUCGGCU
Molecule: transfer RNA, 71 nt
Filed under: Paenarthrobacter sp. YJN-5
Lineage: Bacteria; Bacillati; Actinomycetota; Actinomycetes; Micrococcales; Micrococcaceae
Rfam family: tRNA
About the family: Transfer RNA (tRNA) molecules are approximately 80 nucleotides in length. Their secondary structure includes four short double-helical elements and three loops (D, anti-codon, and T loops).
Source: Rfam by way of RNAcentral